UACGUAGGGGGCAAGCGUUAUCCGGAUUUAUUGAGCGUAAAGAGCUCGUAGGCGGCCGUUCGCGUCGGAUGUGAAAGCUCAGGGCUCAACUCUGAGAUGCCAUUCGAUACGGGACGGCUAGAGGUAGGUAGGGGAGAGUGGAAUUCCUGGUGUAGCGGUGAAAUGCGCAGAUAUCAGGAAGAAUAUCCGUGGCGAAGGCGGCUCUCUGGGACGGUACUGACGCUGAGACGCGAAAGCGUGGGGAGCGAACAGG
This 253-nucleotide ribosomal RNA is filed under the name uncultured bacterium. RNAcentral's name for it is "partial 16S ribosomal RNA". It matches the Rfam family "Bacterial small subunit ribosomal RNA", at positions 524 to 776 of the family's 1533-position model. The record is from RNAcentral.